AGUAAAUUGGUUAAGUUAGAAAGGGCGCACGGUGGAUGCCUUGGCACUAGGAGCCGAAGAAGGACGGGACUAACACCGAUAUGCUUUGGGGAGCUGUACGUAAGCGUUGAUCCAGAGAUUUCCGAAUGGGGGAACCCACUAUCUUUAGUCGGAUAGUAUCCUUACGUGAAUACAUAGCGUGAGGAAGGCAGACCCAGGGAACUGAA
Molecule: ribosomal RNA, 206 nt
Filed under: Listeria monocytogenes
Lineage: Bacteria; Bacillati; Bacillota; Bacilli; Caryophanales; Listeriaceae
Description: partial 23S ribosomal RNA
Rfam family: Bacterial large subunit ribosomal RNA
Source: RNAcentral